AAUUCGACGCAACGCGCAGAACCUUUACCUUAGACUUGACAUCCCGGGGAUUUUCUGGAAACAGAGAAGUGCUUUAGCAAUAAAGAACCCGGUGACAGGUGCUGCAUGGCUGUCGUCAGCUCGUGUCGUGAGAUGUUGGGUUAAGUCCCGCAACGAGCGCAACCCUCGCCUUUAGUUGCCAGCAUUCAGUUGGGCACUCUAGAGGGACUGCCGGUGUCAAACCGGAGGAAGGUGGGAUGACGUCAAGUCCUCAUGGCCUUUAUGUCUAGGGCUACACACGUACUACAAUGGCCGGUACAAAGGGCAGCCACUCAGCGAUGAGGCGCUAAUCCCAUAAAGCCGGUCUCAGUCCGGAUCGCAGUCUGCAACUCGACUGCGUGAAGUUGGAAUCGCUAGUAAUCGUAGAUCAGCAUGCUACGGUGAAUACGUUCCCGGGCCUU
Molecule: ribosomal RNA, 440 nt
Filed under: uncultured Desulfovibrio sp.
Lineage: Bacteria; Pseudomonadati; Thermodesulfobacteriota; Desulfovibrionia; Desulfovibrionales; Desulfovibrionaceae
Description: bacterial SSU rRNA
Rfam family: Bacterial small subunit ribosomal RNA
Source: RNAcentral